GCCGGGACUGACUGCAUUCGAUGAUACUAGUGCAUGCGAGAUCAUUGUAGCAAUACAAUGGCUGACGGCUUCAGUCAUGCGUAGUCAACCUACCCGUGAUGGACGGGGAUAACGUCGGGAAAUCUGAGAAUAAUACCGGAUAGAACAUCAUACCUGGAAUGGUUUAUGUUUUCAAAUAAUUUAUUGCCGUAGGAUGGGCUGCGGCCUAUCAGUUGUUGGUGAGGUAAUGGCCCACCAAGACUAUUACAGGUACGGGCUCUGAGAGGAGUAGCCCGGAGAUAGGUACUGAGACACGGACCCAGGCCGUAUGGGGCGCAGCAGGCGAGAAAACUUUGCAAUGUGCGAAAGCACGACAAGGUUAAUCCGAGUGGUUUCUGCUAAAGGAACCUUUUGUUAGUCAUAGAACCACUAAUGAAUAAGGGGUGGGCAAGUUCUGGUGUCAGCCGCCGCGGUAAAACCAGCACCUCAAGUGGUCAGGAUGAUUAUUGGGCCUAAAGCAUCCGUAGCCGGCUUUGUCAGUUUUCGGUUAAAUCCAUACGCUCAACGUAUGGGCUGCCGGGAAUACUGCAAGGCUAGGGAGUGGGAGAGGUAGACGGUACUCGGUAGGAAGGGGUAAAACCCUUUGACCUAUUGAUGACCACCUGUGGCGAAGGCGGUCUACCAGAACACGUCCGACGGUGAGGGAUGAAAGCUGGGGGAGCAAACCGGAUUAGAUACCCGGGUAGUCCCAGCUGUAAACUAUGCAAACUCGGUGAUGCAUUGGCUUGAUGCCAAUGCAGUGCCGCAGGGAAGCCGUUAAGUUUGCCGCCUGGGAAGUACGUACGCAAGUAUGAAACUUAAAGGAAUUGGCGGGGGAGCACCACAAGGGGUGAAGCCUGCGGUUC
Molecule: ribosomal RNA, 884 nt
Filed under: uncultured archaeon
Lineage: Archaea
Description: bacterial SSU rRNA
Rfam family: Archaeal small subunit ribosomal RNA
Source: RNAcentral